RNA transcript from Belonocnema kinseyi, 2940 nucleotides. It is a transcript of the gene named lysophospholipase D GDPD1-like, with no coding region annotated. Lineage: Eukaryota; Metazoa; Arthropoda; Insecta; Hymenoptera; Cynipidae. The record is from RefSeq and is a predicted model, not a curated record. The transcript is spliced from 12 exons.
UUGUAUAUUUCGAUGGUUGUCAUCCACACAAGAGUUGAAAGUUAAACCAGUGCAAAUGAGAACGAAAAAGAAUCUUUGGUUCAGAAAAGAGUAUUACUAGAGUAUAUUACUAACUGACAAUGAUUACAGAUGAAAAUGUUGCUCUACACGGUUCUUGGUAGUUACGUUUUAACGUCAAUAAUUCUUUUCAAAUAUCCAAGUCUGUUGCACAAGAAGAAAAAUGUUAAGUUUAUGUGCCACCAUAUCAGUCACAGGGGCGGUGCUGGAGAAAGUUAUGAGAAUACAAUGUAUGCUUUUAAAAGAGCAGUAGCAAUCGGCACUGAAAUGUUAGAACUAGACUGCCACCUCACGAAAGAUGGUAAAGUUGUUGUAUCUCAUGAUCAUAAUCUUUUGCGAAGCACGGGAACCAAUAAAAAUAUUUCGGAUCUAGAUUAUAAGGACUUACCUCUACUGAAACAUCGUUUACCAAUUGAUUUUGAUCCAGAUGUAGAAUACGUUGGUUCCGCAAAUGAGGAUGAAAGACAUUUCGCUCUUUUAAAAGAGGUCUUUGUGGCAUUUCCCCACAUUCCUAUCAACAUUGAUAUUAAAAUUAAUAACGACGAACUGAUAUCCAAAGUCGCAGCUCUUAUUAAAGAAUAUAAUAGAGAGGAUUAUACUGUUUGGGGAAACUUCAGUGACGAGAUUACGAAGAAAUGUUAUAAAACGAAUCCAAAUGUUAAUCUACUGUUUUCUAUGCAACGAGUGACUAUGUUAAUUAUUCUUAUGUAUACUGGAUUAUUACCAUUCGUACCGCUUAAGGAGACACACCUAGAAAUAUUUUUGCCCUCAAUCUAUCUACGGCGUAAAGGCGGACCAAUUCGAACUUUCCUCCCAUUGGAAAAGUUAAUCGUUCGCAUAAUGAACAUGUUGCUGAUGAGACCGUGUUUAUUUAAUCAUUUACGAGCACGUGGUAUUCACGUUUACUUUUGGGUGCUGAAUAAAGAUGAAGAAUUUAAACACGCUUUUGAUCUAGGGGCUACGGGUGUAAUGACUGAUUAUCCCAGUAGAUUAAAGUCAUUUUUAAAGAACAAUGCAUUGGAUUAGACAUUUUUUGAAAAAUCUUACAUUUUUUAACAUUUUAAGACAUUUUAAGUAUACGCAGUGUUCAUCCGAUGGAUGCAAAGCGUUGAAGUGAUUAUGAAUUGACAGUUCAUUACCUAUAAUCUUGGUUCUACAUACAUCACAGAAAACAUACUUUUGUCUGAAGCGCUCAUGUACUGCAUCUGUAACGACACGUCCAGGUGGUUCAGGCUCUUCCUGGACACUUGGAAGAGAAGGAGUAUUUGCGAAAUCAAUUGAAACUAUUAGGGAAACCUAAUUUCAAUGAAAAAACGAAUGUUGAACGCAGAGGCUCUUCGGAGAAGAUGUUUAAGUCCGCAUUGAUAAACAAUCUUCGAAAGAUGCGUCUACAAUAAUACGUGCAGCCACUUCUAGUAAUAUUUGCAGCAACUCUUCUAGAAGAAAUUCAAAAUAUCUCCUUGACAGACAUCUGUGCAAAGCCGAACAUAUGCGACACUUCGGCAAUUUCUACAAAUGAGUUCGAAAGUGACGGCGUACACACAGAUCCUUAUGUAAUACGCCUUUGUCAAGAAAUCAAAAAGCAAGGAGAAGAUAUAAUGACACAAUAUUCAGAGAUUAAAGAGGAGAUUUAAGAUAUCAGACGAAUUUUUCAUGAACAGUCCCAAACAACUUAUGGCGACUUCUCUGAAAAACUCUUCGCACUUCUAGAGGGAUUCUCUUUACAGGGGGUAGAACUGUUGGCUAGAUUAGCUCGAGGUGGUCCCAUAUACUUAGUGUUUCGUCCAACAACUCUGAUUUUUUUUACUUUUUAGUAUAGCUAUUUGAUCAAAAAGGGCAGAGAAAAACUCCGAAUUUUCCUUAGCCUUGCCCUGAAGUUGACGAUGGCCGAUGAAGUAGUCACAUCUUUCACCUGGCUAGAUGAUACAAAACAAAAGGCAUUCGGAGCCACUAGAGUCUCUAAUAUUUUGAACAUGGCUGCAAAAAAGUGUCCUUGUUUCCCUGGCCCUCGAGAUGUUCAGGAAUUGGUUAUGGAGAUAAAGGAGGUGUUUCGAACGACGAAGCAACGAUUUCGCAAUAACUGUAGAAACAGCCGUGUAAACUGUACAUGGACCUGAACUAACCCUACAAGUGAAGAAAUGAGUAUUGCGAGUUUUUGGCACUAAUAAUGGUUUUUUUUACGUUUUUUUAAUACAAGUUGUUGCGAAUAUAUGGAAUACUACUGCUAGAAAGUUGCGGUUUUUUCCGAAGUUGUCAACUUUUUGUCUACUUUGUGGACAUGACAUGAAAUCUUCCACAAUUUUUUUUUAAAUUUAUUCAAGAAUAAUUAUAUAUUUGUUAGAUUUUUAAAAUUAUUACCUCGCUCUAAGUACGAAGUGGACAAAAAGUUGAGAAUUUCAGAAUGAACCGCAAUUUUCCAGCAUUGCAAAUGGAGUAUCAUUAACAACAAUAAUAUAUUAUUUAAGCAAUUAAUUUUUCAACUUUAAUUAUUUAUCCACUUCGCUCUAAUUGGAAGUUAGACAAAAAGCUAAAAAUUUCAGGAAAAACCCGAAACUUUCUAGAAUUAUUUAAAUUGAAUAUUAUUAACAUUAAUAAUAAAUUAUUUAAACAAUUGAUUUUUCAACUUUAAUUAAUUAUUCACCUCGAUGUAACUAAAAAUUGGGUAAAAAGUAAAAAAAAUUAAAAACCGCAACUUUCUAGCAUUAUCAAAACUGAAUAUUAACAAUAAAAUAAAUUGUUUACACAAUUCAUGUAGGCACCUAAAUGUGAGUAUGAAGUAGUAUUUCAUUUAUUAGCAAAAAUUUGCAAUAAAAACGUAACAAAAUCAUAAUUAAUGCCAAAAACUCGCAAAAUUCAUUUUUCAUUUGAAGGGUCAGUUUAGGA